RNAcentral lists this ribosomal RNA (405 nucleotides) under uncultured bacterium. RNAcentral's name for it is "bacterial SSU rRNA". It matches the Rfam family "Bacterial small subunit ribosomal RNA", at positions 976 to 1381 of the family's 1533-position model. The record is from RNAcentral.
UAGCCUUGACAUAUUAUAGAAUUCAGUAGAGAUACAGAAGUGCCUUCGGGAGCUAUAUUACAGGUGCUGCACGGCUGUCGUCAGCUCGUGUCGUGAGAUGUUGGGUUAAGUCCCGCAACGAGCGCAACCCUCGUCACUAGUUACUAACGGUUAGGCCGAGGACUCUAGUGAGACUGCCUUCGUAAGGAGGAGGAAGGUGAGGACGACGUCAAGUCAUCAUGGCCCUUACGGCUAGGGCAACACACGUGCUACAAUGGUUAGGACAAUGAGAAGCAAUAUCGCGAGGUGGAGCAAAUCUAUAAACCUAAUCUCAGUUCGGAUUGUAGUCUGCAACUCGACUACAUGAAGCUGGAAUCACUAGUAAUCGUAGAUCAGCUAUGCUACGGUGAAUACGUUCCCGGGUCU